This 3075-nucleotide ribosomal RNA is filed under the name Actinobacteria bacterium IMCC26077. RNAcentral's name for it is "bacterial LSU rRNA". It matches the Rfam family "Bacterial large subunit ribosomal RNA". The record is from RNAcentral. Lineage: Bacteria; Bacillati; Actinomycetota.
GGUGCAAACGGUGGAUGCCUUGGCAUCAGAAGCCGAUGAAGGACGUAUGAGGCUGCGAUAAGCCUCGGGGAGCUGCCAACAGAGCAUUGAUCCGAGGAUUUCCGAAUGGGGAAACCCACUGGGAGUAAUGUCCUGGUACUUCUGCAUGAACACAUAGUGCAGAUAGAGGGAACGUAGGGAAGUGAAACAUCUCAGUACCUACAGGAAGAGAAAACAACCGUGAUUCCGCUAGUAGUGGCGAGCGAAAGCGGAUCGAGACUAAACCGAUGAUGUGUCAAGCCGGCAGGCGUUGCAUGAUCGGGGUCGUGGGAUUGUGUCGAGUAAUCUGCCGAUUACUCAAUAAGUAAAAAAUCAAUGAUGUAGAUGAAGGAUUUGGAAAGAUCCGGCACAGAAGGUAACACCCCUGUAGUCGAAACAUCAUUGACUUAUUCGCAAUAUCCCAAGUAGCACGGGGCCCGAGAAAUCCCGUGUGAAUCUGGCGGGACCACCCGCUAAGUCUAAAUACUCUCUGGUGACCGAUAGCGGACAAGUACCGUGAGGGAAAGGUGAAAAGAACCCCGAGAGGGGAGUGAAAUAGAAUCUGAAACCGUUUGCAUACAAGCCGUAGGAGCGAGAGCAAUCUUGUGACUGCGUGCCUUUUGAAGAAUGAACCUGCGAGUUAGUGUCAUGUGGCGAGGUUAACCCGUGUGGGGUAGCCGUAGCGAAAGCGAGUCUGAAUAGGGCGAAUUAGUCGCAUGAUCUAGACCCGAAGCGGGAUGAUCUAUCCAUGGUCAGGUUGAAGCGCGGGUAAGACCGCGUGGAGGACCGAACCCACUAAUGUUGAAAAAUUAGGGGAUGAACUGUGGAUAGGGGUGAAAGGCCAAUCAAAUUCCGUGAUAGCUGGUUCUCUCCGAAAUGCAUUUAGGUGCAGCGUUACGUGUUUCUUACCGGAGGUAGAGCUACUGGAUGGCUGAGGGGCCCUACAAGGUUACCAAUGUCAACCAAACUCCGAAUGCCGGUAAGUGAGAACGUAGCAGUGAGACGGUGGGGGAUAAGCUUCAUCGUCGAGAGGGAAACAACCCAGAAUGACAACUAAGGUCCCAAAGCGUGUGCUAAGUGGAAAAGGAUGUGAAGUCGCAUAGACAACCAGGAUGUUGGCUUAGAAGCAGCCACCAUUAAAAGAGUGCGUAAUAGCUCACUGGUCAAGUGAUUUCGCGCCGACAAUGUAACGGGGCUCAAGCACAUCACCGAAGUUUCAUCAUUCACGCACUACCCCGGUCCGCAAGGAUCCAGGGGCGUGGAUGGGUAGGAGAGCGUCGUGCGCGCAGUGAAGCGGCGGAGGAAUCCAGCCGUGGAGAGCGCACGAGUGAGAAUGCAGGUAUGAGUAGCGAAAGACGGGUGAGAAACCCGUCCACCGAAUGACCAAGGGUUCCUGGGCCAGGCUAAUCCGCCCAGGGUAAGUCGGGUCCUAAGGCGAGGGCGACAGCCGUAGUCGAUGGACAACUGGUUGAUAUUCCAGUACCCGCAAUAAAGCGCCCAUGGCGAACCAACAAUGCUAAGUGGGUGAAGCGGAAGCAAUUCCGUGGAUCGUACGACCCUACGUUGCAGUAGCUAAGCAAUGGUGUGACACAGGAAGGUAGUUCAUCCCAGGCGAUGGUUGUCCUGGGGUAAGGGUGUAGUGAGGGCUAUAGGCAAAUCCGUAGUCCAUAUUCAUGAGACCUGAUGCCGAGCCGAAUGGCGAAGUGAAUGAUCCUAUGCUGUCGAGAAAAGCAUCUAGCGAGCUUUAUGGCGGCCCGUACCCGAAACCGACUCAGGUGGUCAGGCAGAGAAUGCCAAGGUGAUCGAGAGAAUCAUAGUUAAGGAACUCGGCAAAAUGCCCCCGUAACUUCGGGAGAAGGGGGGCCAAAGCGGGUGUAGGAGUUUUCCUCCGAAGCCUGCGGUGGCCGCAGAGAGUAGGCCCAAGCGACUGUUUACCAAAAACACAGGUCCGUGCGAAGUUGUAAGACGAUGUAUACGGACUGACGCCUGCCCGGUGCUGGAAGGUCAAGGGGACUGGUUAGCUAGUAAUAGCGAAGCUGAGAACUUAAGCCCCAGUAAACGGCGGUGGUAACUAUAACCAUCCUAAGGUAGCGAAAUUCCUUGUCGGGUAAGUUCCGACCUGCACGAAUGGCGUAACGAUUUGGGCGCUGUCUCAACUGUGAACUCGGCGAAAUUGCACAACGAGUAAAGAUGCUCGUUACGUGAAGAAAGACGGAAAGACCCCGGGACCUUUACUAUAGUUUGAUAUUGGUACUCGGAACGGCUUGUGUAGGAUAGGUGGGAGACUGUGAAGCGGGCACGCCAGUGUUCGUGGAGUCAACGUUGAAAUACCACUCUGGUCGUUUUGAGUUUCUAACCUCGGUCCAUAUAUCUGGAUCAGGGACAGUGUCUGAUGGGUAGUUUAACUGGGGCGGUUGCCUCCCAAAAAGUAACGGAGGCGCUCAAAGGUUCCCUCAGCCUGGUUGGCAAUCAGGUGUCGAGUGUAAGUGCACAAGGGAGCUUGACUGCGAGACAGACAUGUCGAGCAGGUGCGAAAGCAGGAACUAGUGAUCCGGCGGUGGCUUGUGGAAGCGCCGUCGCUCAACGGAUAAAAGGUACCCCGGGGAUAACAGGCUGAUCUUGCCCAAGAGUCCAUAUCGACGGCAAGGUUUGGCACCUCGAUGUCGGCUCGUCGCAUCCUGGGGCUGGAGUAGGUCCCAAGGGUUGGGCUGUUCGCCCAUUAAAGCGGCACGCGAGCUGGGUUCAGAACGUCGUGAGACAGUUCGGUCCCUAUCUUCUUUGCGCGUAGGAAACUUGAGAAAUGCUGUCCCUAGUACGAGAGGACCGGGACGGACGAACCUCUGGUGUGUCGGUUGUUCCGCCAGGAGCACGGCCGAUUAGCUAUGUUCGGAAGUGAUAACCGCUGAAAGCAUCUAAGCGGGAAGCACGUUUCAAGAUGAGGUUUCCCACUGGUUUACCAGGUAAGGCCCCCAGCCAGACGACUGGGUUGAUAGGUCGGAUGUGGAAGCGAAGUAAUUCGUGAAGCUGACCGAUACUAAUAGGCCGAGGAUUUAACAC